AGUGAACGCUGGCGGUAGGCCUAACACAUGCAAGUCGAACGGAAGCACAGUAAGAGCUUGCGCUUCCGGGUGGCCAGUGGCGGACGGGAGAGGAAUACAACGUACUCUACUUUUUCGUGGGGGUUAACGUAGGGAAACUUACGCCAAUACCGCAUACGACCUACGGGUGAAAGGAGGGGAUCUUCGGACCUUGCGCGAUUGAAUGAGCCGAUGUCGGUUUAGCUAGUUGGCGGGGUAAAGGCCCACCAAGUCGACGAUCCGUAGCUGGUCUGAGAGGAUGAUCAGCCACACUGGAACUGGGACACGGUCCAGAGUCCUACGGGAGGCAGCAGUGGGGAAUAUUGGACAAUGGGCGCAAGCAUUAUCCAGCCAUACCGAGUGUGAGAAGAAGGCGUUGGGGUUGUAAAGACCUUUUGUGGGGAAAGAAAAGCAGCAGGUUAAGACCCAGCUGUUCUGACGGUACCCAAUGAAUAAGCACCGGCUAACUUCGUG
Molecule: ribosomal RNA, 492 nt
Filed under: uncultured bacterium
Lineage: Bacteria
Description: partial 16S ribosomal RNA
Rfam family: Bacterial small subunit ribosomal RNA
Source: RNAcentral